This 215-nucleotide unclassified non-coding RNA is filed under the name Hevea brasiliensis (rubber tree). The record is from RNAcentral. Lineage: Eukaryota; Viridiplantae; Streptophyta; Magnoliopsida; Malpighiales; Euphorbiaceae.
GAUCAAUAGAGGUCGAAUUAGGAUAAGAUGUCAAAGGAGGUGCUUCAGAGUAGGUUGAAAGGCCAGACCUCGCUGCACUUCCUGCUCUAUCUACUGAGGCGGCGUAUCUGGUAUAAGCAUCGUCUCCCAUGGCUUGGCCGCCUGCUCCGCUUCGGCUGCAACCGCAACCCUCCCCCGGCCUCGUCUCUUCUCCACUUCUCCCACGCCUAGCGUUG